Molecule: long non-coding RNA, 248 nt
Filed under: Gorilla gorilla gorilla (western lowland gorilla)
Lineage: Eukaryota; Metazoa; Chordata; Mammalia; Primates; Hominidae
Description: lncRNA (ENSGGOG00000044660.1)
Source: RNAcentral
GGAUUCUCUCCUGGAAGCUCCAUGGCUUUGACUCACAUCCUCGUUUACUAGAAACCAAAUUUAAAAGAUACUCAGAAACAACAUUUUUCAGCCAGAGCUCUCUACAGAACAAUGAGGCAAUGGAGCUAGAAGUCACAGCUAAGAAGCAGACCACAAACCACCGAUGUCUAUGCAGUCUAUGAAACCGAGGGGAAAACAACUCUGUCCCGCUACAGCAUCAUUCUCCCCACAGAGGCCCCCAGUGAAGA